AACAUUUCUUGACAAACAAAUAUUCAAGAGUUAGUGUAGCUUUUAUCAAAACACUUCAUAAAUUGGUCCUAGUUGGUCUUUGUCUUAUCCAAGACAUCACAACUUUCCACAUUUGAUGAAUGUUAUAAACCUUCUUAAUACUUAUCACUCAAUGUCACAAUCUUAACUCUAAGACUUGUUUUGGAACGAAGUAUGAUUGACUUCUUGAUUUAACCAUUUCUUCAAUUCUUGAUUCCUCUUCUUAGACAUACAAUUGUACUAAGACUCACUUAGAGGAUCAAUUGAGAUAUGGUUCUUAAUCAUUAAGACCUAUCAUAAAGCAUAAAAGGUACUCUCCCUUCUUCUUAGAAUGGAGAAACUUUUAUCUUUCUGCCUACUUGAUUCUUCUUAUUCGUUCUGCUAUUGAUUUAAACUUUUUCAAUCAAUUCAGAAUUACACUUAAUCUUAUAAGUAUAAUCAUAUUUACUAAACCUUUAGUAAAUCAUGACGAAUAUCUUUGUUACUCUUAUGGUGGACUUGAUCAACACGCAACUUUGUGUACUCGAUCUCCUAGUCCUUCACUUGACACUUUGUCAAUGAAUUAGUCUAAUUUCCAAAUAUGAAAUUUCUCAUUCAUCGUGCAACCAAGUUGCAUGAUUCCAAGUUUCUGUCCAAUUGAAACUUGGGCGAUGAGAAACUCUCCCUAUUUGGUAAACUCUCGACUUUCCAUAAAUAACAUAAUAAGAACCAAAUCCAUUAUUGCUAAUAAUAGAAACAUUCAAACAUCAAUUUUUCAUAUACGCCAUUGCAAGGAUAAAUAAAUAAUAUAAAAUCAAAAUUUAUUUUAUUGCGGAAAAAAUUUGUCCUUACAAUGCAAUUCAUUGAAAAACUAUGCUAAUACAUCUUUCUUAGCAAUCUAAUUCUAACUCUAAGUAGUAGCUCAAGAAUCUAAUCUUCGAGAAAUGCGAUCGAAAUCCAUUCCUUCACGGUUAGAUUCUGCUCACUUCUUCCCUUAAGCUUCCUUUCUUUUCUUCGAUCCUACAAAACAUCAAUUGUAAUCUUAUCACAUUAUGUAUUAAGAAUCUAGAAUAGAAGCUUAAAAGAGUUAGUUAAUGGAUUUUACCUAUAUUAGAGCCAUACGUUUCGACUCUCCCAUCUCUUAGAUCUCUUAGGUAAAUGGGGCAGCUUCGUCUCCAAUGCCCUUUCUCUUGGCAAUAAAAGCAAAUUGACUCUUUUGGAACAUGACAUGGAACUACUUCAGACAUUGCCUUUCUCUUAUGAUCAAACUUUUCGAUCAUAGCAUGUCUUUCGUUGCCAUUGUCUAUAUCCAUAGAGGUCUUGAAGGCAGAUUCACCAAUCAACUUUGCUUUUCUAUUGCGCCAAACCAUUGCUGAUUCAGCAGCAAUAAGCAUAUAGGUGAGAUCUAUAAGGGUCACGUCGCGGUUCAUCAUAUAGUACUCUCUUACGAACUCACUAUAUGAGUUAGGAAGUGACUGAAGAACCCAAUCAACAGCCAUUUCCUCACAGACAACGGAUCCCAACAUUCUUAACCUAUCAAUGUGUGACUUCAUCCCUAGGACGUGUGCACACACCGACUUUCCUUCUUUAUGUUUACUUGCCAAAAGGGCUUGAGUGAUCUUGAACUUUUCAAGCCUUUGAACUUGUGGGUUAGGGAGAAUAAUUGGAGGAGGAGGAGGAAGUGAAGCAUGAUUUCUUGUUCCUCGAUCGAAUCGUGGAAUAUCAUCUUCAUGUGGAAUGCUUGUUCCACGGGAUUUGGGAAGACCAUAGUUGUCGAACUUUGACAUCUACAAAACGGGAGAAAACGAAUUCAAGUUAGUUGAUUGAUUGAGUCCUUAGUAAAUCACCCAAAUGAGAUACUAAGGCUAGGACCCAACACAAUAUUCUACAACUCGGGAGAGGGAUGCCGUAACCCUAAUUGCAGAAUAUUUGAAGGUAAGUGAAUGACGAUUCACUAAUUUCCACCAUGAAAAACGAAAAAGAAAUUUAAGUUUUAAAUCUAUGAAAACUCCUAGAUCCUUUGAGAUUCAUUGAACUUUCAAUGGCAUGUUUAAAUCUCGAUAUGCCCCUCUUGUUUGUGACUGGGAUGCCGAGGAUCACAAAGCGGGUGUGAAUAACCAUGCAAACUUACAUGGUGCCCUCACAUGUUACAGUCACCUAUUCGAUGUGCCGGUAAACCACACACGCUCCACCGAACUAUGACAAACAUUGAGUCACCCUUUGCUACCUUUGCUUAGAACCAUUUAGUGUGCCGGUAAACCACACACGCUCCACUAACGUCUUCGCAAGGGCACAAAGUGUAAUUUCAUGGAAUUGCAUCAAUUCACUUUUGCCUAAGUAACUAAGAUUGGGAAUUUUAUGAAAACAUUUAGUUACUUUAAUAAUUCAUUAUACUUAUAAUGGAAGGUUUCGUCCUAUCCUACCCGUUCGGCUAACGACCCUCCACUAGUCAAGAGUGCGGUGGGUAAGAGUGGAUACCCAUUCAAUCGCCAUUUUAUAGGCAAUUUCCUUAAACACCCCUUAUAGACCAGCUUCGUGAAUGAGGCCUACUAACGGUAAGACUGACUUUUACUCAUACAUAUAUAUAAUGUUAGACUUUUAAUGUUAUAUAUAGUAUAGGGUGUAUUUUACACUUUUAAAAUACUAGGUGGUCUAAUUUAACAAUUAUACUUUUAAUUCAAUUAAAUUGUAAACCUAAACUUUUAUGGAUUUAUUAAACCUCUUUUAAUUAUACACCUUAAUUAAUUAAUAAAACCAUAAGGGUGUGAUUUGAACUUUUUCAAAACAAUACUAGGGUUUUAGAAUUUAACAUUCCUAAUUAAACUUUUAAUCAACUUUUAAAUUCCAAAACUUGAGGGCAAGUUUUGAAACAUUUCAAAACAUUAGGGUUUAGAAUUUAAAUAUACAUCAAAAUUAAACUAUUAAUCAAAAUUUAAAUUCCAAAACUUGAGGGCAAGUUUUGAAACCUUUUUCAAAACAUUAGGGUUUCAACUAUUUAAAUUUCAAAACAACAAAACUUUUGAGUUCAAAUUUAAACUAUAAAACCUAAAGGGGAAAAUAUGAAACUUUUCAUAACAACAAGGAUCAAAUAACAAAUAAUCUAAAUUAACAUUUAAUCACAUAAUUAUCCAUAUUUGAUUUAUUUAAUGAUUUCUUGCAAAACAAUUUAUCAAUUUAAUCAAAAUAAUUAAUCAAUUAUCACAUAAGGAAACAAAUAUUUUAUUAAUUGAUAAAUAUCUUCAAUUAGAUCAAGAAUAUAGUCAUAUAUAUCAAAAAAUCGGAUUUAUAUUGAUCUAAUAUGAUAAGGCAAGUAUCCUCAAGCAAAAACAGCAAGAAAUCCCGGUUUUCCCUCCUUCUGACCAGCCGACUCGUCGAGUCAGGCAUGGACUCGUCGAGUUAGCAUGAACUCGGCGAGUUCAGCAAGCAGAACCACAAAAAACGAAUUUUUUCAACAUAUAAAGCAUCAAUACAAUAGAAACCAAUCUAGGCUCUGAUACCACUGAUGGGUUUUGGUCAUAAGACAUCCUAUGUGCUCAUACAAACCCUAAUGCUUGGAUCUAGGUUUCUCUAUUGUACAUGCUUUGAAUCCAAGACUAUAAACCCUAAUUCUAGCAUAUGGAAAUCAAUAUUAACAUAUAAUUAGGUUUAAGAUAUUACCUUGAUUGUUAUGUAGCAAUAACAAUCCCAAUUCCUCCUUGAAUUGACUUUGGAAGGCUUAGAGUCACAAGUGUCACUCCUCUAAUGGUUCACAAACACCAUAAGCAAGAGGAUGAAGAGGAGAGAGGAUGGAGGCUGCCCAAAACGUGUUCUAACCCUAGAAAAGAAGUUCCCCACGUUUUUGAGCCUUAAGGGUUCUAUAUAUAGUGAGGCUAUUAGGGUUAUCUAACAAGGAAACCCUAAUUUGGAUGCUUAAGCCCUAAGCAACCCAUGGAUCCCUUUCCUUAAGGCCUUGGACGAUUUCUUAUGGGCUUCCCCAUAGAAUUCGUCCACUCCUUAAUAUAAGGCAAUCCAUGGCCCAAAUUGCAAUUAUCUUAUAAUUACAAUUCCAGUCCCUUAAGUUUAAUUAAUCUCUUUUAGUCACAAAACUAAUUACCAAUUAAUUCUUGACUAAUAUUAAUUAAACAAUAUGAUUUCUCCUUUAAUAUAUUAUUCUCAUAAUAUAUUAAUAAAUCAUAUUUAAUCCUUUCUCUCCAUAAUUCAUCCUAUCAAGUUGCUUUGGUGAAGGCAACCCAAAAGGACCAUGCACCAUCGGGUCAAGUACAUACCAAAAUAGUUAUGGACUUAGACACUAAUCCAACAGUCUCCCACUUGGAUAAGUCUAAUAACUAUUAUGCGUAUGACUUCAGAUCCUGAUCUGCAAUCGUAGCUUUCCAAAGCCGCUGUCAACUCUGAUCCUAUCAGAUACGCGUGUCCUUAGAUAAGGGAUCAUAUAUUCCUCCAUUCUAGAUAUCAUAUGAGAUAUGAUUUCAAAUCAUUCUCUUUGUACUAUAUCUCGAUUUCCGAUUUAUGACGACUGACUAAUUGAACAAAUCAAAUUAGCCCUAGCCCGGCCGAGCAUUUACGUUUGUCAUCACUAAAUCAUCGAGGGGCCCAAAGAUAUCGCUUUUAUCCUACUUUGGAUAAAAGGAACGGAUAAACUUUGAUACAAUGCUUGCUUGCACUCACUCACCGAAUCACACACAACAAUAUGUUUUAUAACACCAAGUUACUAGUGCGUUUACAUAUUAUCAAUGUGCAACCGAUUUGCAAGAUACAACUCACACAUCUCGGUUUCAAGAAUAUAAGAUGUUAUCGUCUCACCAAUCACUCGUGAUACAAUUCAUGGAGUGAUCCAAGUGAGCGUGGGUUUAAUCCAAUGCUCAAAUCAUAUUCAUAAGCACUCAUGAACGUUGCAGCAAACAUUUGCUUAUGUCUAAUACUCUUUUAGACAAUCCACACACCAAUUCACGACAGUCUUCAUUCAUAUCUACUUCCAACAUAUGAACGACUGUGGCCCGUUCGAAUAAUUCGAUUAUUCUUAAUAAACUCAAUUAUUCUGGAAGUCAAAACAUGCAAAUGUGAAACACAAGAAUAAUACUAAUCCCAUAUGGCCUCAAACCUUUGAGUAUAAAUAAAACACCUUUUAUUUAUCACCAUAUCGAUUACUCAUUAUUUGUCGUUUCGGGUAAUCAACUUCUUACUUGAAUUAUUACACUUGUCCCAUGCUCUUAGCAUGCACACAAUGUUUACCUAUGGUUCUUACUUUUGUGAAAUAGAUCAAAUUGAACACAUUUCCAAUCAUUCUCAUUUCACAACUCCAAAUCCUUUUUCAUAAGUGUGAGAAUAUCAAAUUCUUGUUACUUAUAGAAUAUGCUAGAUUCUAACAUUCUAUGCAAUGAUCCUUUCGUAAUGUCACUGCACCAAAGUCACAAAGACUAUUGCCAAUGAUAUUACAAAGUCCUCUAUCGGAGAUUGUUACAAGACAAUUCCUUAGAUAUGAUGUCUCUCACUCAAAGUACAUUCCUUUGAACAUCCUUUUGCAUAAAAGUUUCUAAUCUAGACAUAGAUUUUCAAUAUUCAAUUCCCAAUAUGGACACGUUUCCAUAUUUUCCAUAUGACAACUCAUUCUUAAUAGAAUCUUAUCUAUUCGUAAUGAUGUCGAUAUGGUCCAUCCAAUAUGGAAACAUUUCCAUAAUUUCCAUAUGACAACUCAUUCUUAAUAGAAUCUUUUCUAUUCAUAAUAAUGUCGAUAUGGUCCAUCCAAUACCAUGCUUCCAACUACUCACAAGCGACCAAUCCUCGUCGAACUUUGGAUUGUCCUUUGAUAGUUGUUUAAUUAUUUUAGUCAAAACCAAUUCUAGUCCCUUUUCCCUCUAAAUGCGCUAGACAUUUGGAAAAUUUUAGAAUGGUCAAACAUUAAAGCAUUUGCAAUCGAUCCUAUACCCGAAGCGUAUGGGACACGACGCAUAAUGUUUUAUUUGCUAUGUUCUCAAAAUUCGAAUUGUGAAGAGGAAUGUCGUAAUCAUAAUCGAAAUUUUAAGAACACACUAUGUACCCUUGACUAAAUUUAUUAACAUUUCUCAACCUAAUCCUUUAGAUUUGAAAUGAAGCAUAAUAUUCUCUCCCUUAAUUAUAGCAAAACAACUUUACAACCCUUACGACUUUGCAAGGUAUAACUCUUGUUUUCUAUAAUUAAUAUUGCCAACUUGCAAUACGUGCCUUAAUAAUCAUACAAUCAUAACAUUUAUGCUCCCACUAUCAUGAUGAUUAUUAUAAAACAUAACACUUAUGCUCCCACUAGCUUCGACAUGUAUUCAUAAACAUCUUAACUUUCAGAAAAACAAUGCUUAUUGAAUUUCUUAAGUUCAUGUUUCUAAUACUUAGUGCUUUGAUAAUCUUUUAUCAAGGCUUCUUGAACUUAUACACCUUUGCCUUCGAUAGUUCAUAUGUGUGUCUAAACAAUUAAGACUAAUUGCCAAACCUCACAAUUCAAAUUAUGGAAAGGGAUACCGUAACCAUAAUCGAAUUCGAGAAUGCAAUUUUACAAUCACUAUCUUCCUAAAAUCUUUCUUAGUGAAAGCAUUUCCUCACAAUCAUUUUCAUGAAGGAGGAAAUCUUAUGACACUUAGAUUUAAACGGUGUAUGUGUUCCUAUCCAUGUGAAUUUGUCAAAACCAACGUUCACGAAAAAUUCAACCUCAUAUGGAUCGAACUUUCUUAAUCUCGAUUUCUUGCCUUAUGGUAGCAUAGCUGCCCACCACGUCUUCCAAAUAGUUAAGCAAAUCACAUUUUCCUAUCAAUGUACCUUUCAUUGAUUAAGGUGUCUUGCCUUUUAUGCGUUCAAAAUGAGAAUUCAUAGAACUCACAUGCAUAAUUAACUCAAUUGGAACAACACAGAAACCAAAUAAUGUCAACACGAUAGGUUGUAAACCUCAACUCGUGUGCUAGUGAUGAUCGAUAAGGUUUAUUUGAUUUGUUCUUGAAACCUUUCAAGACCAUUAAGACUCCCACUGACUCCUUGACAUAUAAGAUUCUCUUGUCAAUAACCAUUUCUUGACAAACAAAUAUUCAAGAGUUAGUGUAGUUUUUAUCAAAACACUUCAUAAAUUGGUCCUAGUUGGUCUUUGUCUUAUCCAAGACAUCACAACUUUCCACAUUUGAUGAAUGUUAUAAACCUUUAAUACUUUUCACUCAUUGUCACAAUCUUAACUUUAAGACUUGUCAUUGGAACGAAGUAUGAUAGACUUCUUGAUUUAACCAUUUCUUCAAUUCUUGAUUCCUCUUCUUAGACAUACAAUUGUACUAAGACUCACUUAGAGGAUCAAUUGAGAUAUGGUUCUUAAUCAUUAAGACCUAUCAUAAAGCAUAAAAGGUACUCUCCCUUCUUCUUAGAAUGGAGAAACUUUUAUCUUUCUGCCUACUUGAUUCUUCUUAUUCGUUCUACUAUUGAUCUAAACCUUUUAAUCAAUUUAGAAUUACACUUAAUCUUGUAAGUAUAAUCAUAUUUACUAAGCCUUUAGUAAAUCAUGACGAAUAUCAUUGUUACUCUUAUGGUGGACUUGAUCAACACGCAACUUUGUGUGCUCGAUCUCCUAGUCCUUCACUUGACACUUUGUC
RNAcentral lists this long non-coding RNA (7592 nucleotides) under Lactuca sativa (garden lettuce). RNAcentral describes it as "long non-coding RNA (LSAT_LNC008348)". The record is from RNAcentral. Lineage: Eukaryota; Viridiplantae; Streptophyta; Magnoliopsida; Asterales; Asteraceae.